Non-coding RNA from Cariama cristata (Red-legged seriema), 47 nucleotides. Lineage: Eukaryota; Metazoa; Chordata; Aves; Cariamiformes; Cariamidae. The record is from Rfam.
ACAAAGGCUCUUUUCAGAGCCACCCAAGUUUCCAAGAGAAGGGCUGU